AACGUAGGAGACAAACGUUAUCCGGAGUUACUGGGCGUAAAGGGCGUGCAGGCGGCAGCCUAAGUCUGGCGUGAAAUAUCCCGGCUUAACCGGGAGAGGUCGUCGGAUACUGGGCAGCUAGAGGGCGGUAGAGGCGUGUGGAAUUCCGGGUGUAGUGGUGAAAUGCGUAGAGAUCCGGAGGAACACCAGUGGCGAAGGCGACACGCUGGGCCGCACCUGACGCUAAGACGCGACAGCAUGGGGAGCGAAC
This 250-nucleotide ribosomal RNA is filed under the name uncultured bacterium. RNAcentral describes it as "partial 16S ribosomal RNA". It matches the Rfam family "Bacterial small subunit ribosomal RNA", at positions 524 to 773 of the family's 1533-position model. The record is from RNAcentral.